This 2360-nucleotide ribosomal RNA is filed under the name Staphylococcus aureus C2549. Its description in RNAcentral is "bacterial LSU rRNA". It matches the Rfam family "Bacterial large subunit ribosomal RNA", at positions 3 to 2361 of the family's 2925-position model. Lineage: Bacteria; Bacillati; Bacillota; Bacilli; Caryophanales; Staphylococcaceae. The record is from RNAcentral.
UUAAGUUAUUAAGGGCGCACGGUGGAUGCCUUGGCACUAGAAGCCGAUGAAGGACGUUACUAACGACGAUAUGCUUUGGGGAGCUGUAAGUAAGCUUUGAUCCAGAGAUUUCCGAAUGGGGAAACCCAGCAUGAGUUAUGUCAUGUUAUCGAUAUGUGAAUACAUAGCAUAUCAGAAGGCACACCCGGAGAACUGAAACAUCUUAGUACCCGGAGGAAGAGAAAGAAAAUUCGAUUCCCUUAGUAGCGGCGAGCGAAACGGGAAGAGCCCAAACCAACAAGCUUGCUUGUUGGGGUUGUAGGACACUCUAUACGGAGUUACAAAGGACGACAUUAGACGAAUCAUCUGGAAAAAUGAAUCAAAGAAGGUAAUAAUCCUGUAGUCGAAAAUGUUGUCUCUCUUGAGUGGAUCCUGAGUACGACGGAGCACGUGAAAUUCCGUCGGAAUCAGGGAGGACCAUCUCCUAAGGCUAAAUACUCUCUAGUGACCGAUAGUGAACCAGUACCGUGAGGGAAAGGUGAAAAGCACCCCGGAAGGGGAGUGAAAUAGAACCUGAAACCGUGUGCUUACAAGUAGUCAGAGCCCGUUAAUGGGUGAUGGCGUGCCUUUUGUAGAAUGAACCGGCGAGUUACGAUUUGAUGCAAGGUUAAGCAGUAAAUGUGGAGCCGUAGCGAAAGCGAGUCUGAAUAGGGCGUUUAGUAUUUGGUCGUAGACCCGAAACCAGGUGAUCUACCCUUGGUCAGGUUGAAGUUCAGGUAACACUGAAUGGAGGACCGAACCGACUUACGUUGAAAAGUGAGCGGAUGAACUGAGGGUAGCGGAGAAAUUCCAAUCGAACCUGGAGAUAGCUGGUUCUCUCCGAAAUAGCUUUAGGGCUAGCCUCAAGUGAUGAUUAUUGGAGGUAGAGCACUGUUUGGACGAGGGGCCCCUCUCGGGUUACCGAAUUCAGACAAACUCCGAAUGCCAAUUAAUUUAACUUGGGAGUCAGAACAUGGGUGAUAAGGUCCGUGUUCGAAAGGGAAACAGCCCAGACCACCAGCUAAGGUCCCAAAAUAUAUGUUAAGUGGAAAAGGAUGUGGCGUUGCCCAGACAACUAGGAUGUUGGCUUAGAAGCAGCCAUCAUUUAAAGAGUGCGUAAUAGCUCACUAGUCGAGUGACACUGCGCCGAAAAUGUACCGGGGCUAAACAUAUUACCGAAGCUGUGGAUUGUCCUUUGGACAAUGGUAGGAGAGCGUUCUAAGGGCGUUGAAGCAUGAUCGUAAGGACAUGUGGAGCGCUUAGAAGUGAGAAUGCCGGUGUGAGUAGCGAAAGACGGGUGAGAAUCCCGUCCACCGAUUGACUAAGGUUUCCAGAGGAAGGCUCGUCCGCUCUGGGUUAGUCGGGUCCUAAGCUGAGGCCGACAGGCGUAGGCGAUGGAUAACAGGUUGAUAUUCCUGUACCACCUAUAAUCGUUUUAAUCGAUGGGGGGACGCAGUAGGAUAGGCGAAGCGUGCGAUUGGAUUGCACGUCUAAGCAGUAAGGCUGAGUAUUAGGCAAAUCCGGUACUCAUUAAGGCUGAGCUGUGAUGGGGAGAAGACAUUGUGUCUUCGAGUCGUUGAUUUCACACUGCCGAGAAAAGCCUCUAGAUAGAAAAUAGGUGCCCGUACCGCAAACCGACACAGGUAGUCAAGAUGAGAAUUCUAAGGUGAGCGAGCGAACUCUCGUUAAGGAACUCGGCAAAAUGACCCCGUAACUUCGGGAGAAGGGGUGCUCUUUAGGGUUAACGCCCAGAAGAGCCGCAGUGAAUAGGCCCAAGCGACUGUUUAUCAAAAACACAGGUCUCUGCUAAACCGUAAGGUGAUGUAUAGGGGCUGACGCCUGCCCGGUGCUGGAAGGUUAAGAGGAGUGGUUAGCUUCUGCGAAGCUACGAAUCGAAGCCCCAGUAAACGGCGGCCGUAACUAUAACGGUCCUAAGGUAGCGAAAUUCCUUGUCGGGUAAGUUCCGACCCGCACGAAAGGCGUAACGAUUUGGGCACUGUCUCAACGAGAGACUCGGUGAAAUCAUAGUACCUGUGAAGAUGCAGGUUACCCGCGACAGGACGGAAAGACCCCGUGGAGCUUUACUGUAGCCUGAUAUUGAAAUUCGGCACAGCUUGUACAGGAUAGGUAGGAGCCUUUGAAACGUGAGCGCUAGCUUACGUGGAGGCGCUGGUGGGAUACUACCCUAGCUGUGUUGGCUUUCUAACCCGCACCACUUAUCGUGGUGGGAGACAGUGUCAGGCGGGCAGUUUGACUGGGGCGGUCGCCUCCUAAAAGGUAACGGAGGCGCUCAAAGGUUCCCUCAGAAUGGUUGGAAAUCAUUCAUAGAGUGUAAAGGCAUA